AGAGUGAACGCUGGCGGCAGGCCUAACACAUGCAAGUCGAACGACAGCACAGGGGAGCUUGCUCUCCGGGUGGCGAGUGGCGGACGGGUGAGGAAUACAUGGGAAUCUGCCCAAUCGUGGGGGAUAACGUAGGGAAACUUACGCUAAUACCGCAUACGACCUUAGGGUGAAAGCGGCGGACCGCAAGGCGUCGCGCGAUUGGAUGAGCCCAUGUCGGAUUAGCUUGUUGGCGGGGUAAAGGCCCACCAAGGCGACGAUCCGUAGCUGGUCUGAGAGGAUGAUCAGCCACACUGGAACUGAGACACGGUCCAGACUCCUACGGGAGGCAGCAGUGGGGAAUAUUGGACAAUGGGCGCAAGCCUGAUCCAGCCAUGCCGCGUGGGUGAAGAAGGCCUUGGUUGUAAAGCCCUUUGUCCGGAAAGAAAAGCUUCGGCGUAAUACCCGGGUCCUGACGGUACCGGAAGAAUAAGCACGGCUAACUCGCGCCAGCAGCCGCGU
Molecule: ribosomal RNA, 498 nt
Filed under: uncultured soil bacterium
Lineage: Bacteria
Description: bacterial SSU rRNA
Rfam family: Bacterial small subunit ribosomal RNA
Source: RNAcentral